GAUGAACGCUGGCGGCGUGCUUAACACAUGCAAGUCGAACGGAAAGGCCCUGCUUUUGUGGGGUGCUCGCGUGGCGAGCGGGUGAGUAACACGUGAGUAAACUGCCCCCGAAUUUGGGAUAAAUUGAGCGAAAUGGGGCUAAUACCGGAUAGGAGCCCUUGCAGCAUAGUAUGGGUUGGAAAGUUUGGGCGGUUGGGGAUGGACUCGUGGUUUAUCAGGUUGUUGGUGGGGAAGUGGCUUACCAAAGCUUUGACGGGUAGCCGGCCUGGUAUGGUGACCUGCCACAUCGGACCGGAAGUGCGGCCCAGUCCCCAACCGUAGGGGACAGUGGGGAAUAGUGCACUACACGCUGAAGCCUGAUGUGACGGCGCCGCGUGGGGGAUGACGGCCAUCGGUUUGGAACGCGCUUUCCCCUUAGACGAAGCGAGAGUGACGGUAACUGAUGAAUAAGCACCGGCUAACUACGUG
Molecule: ribosomal RNA, 468 nt
Filed under: uncultured bacterium
Lineage: Bacteria
Description: partial 16S ribosomal RNA
Rfam family: Bacterial small subunit ribosomal RNA
Source: RNAcentral